UCGAGCGAAUGGAUUAAGAGCUUGCUCUUAUGAAGUUAGCGGCGGACGGGUGAGUAACACGUGGGUAACCUGCCCAUAAGACUGGGAUAACUCCGGGAAACCGGGGCUAAUACCGGAUAAUAUUUUGAACUGCAUGGUUCGAAAUUGAAAGGCGGCUUCGGCUGUCACUUAUGGAUGGACCCGCGUCGCAUUAGCUAGUUGGUGAGGUAACGGCUCACCAAGGCAACGAUGCGUAGCCGACCUGAGAGGGUGAUCGGCCACACUGGGACUGAGACACGGCCCAGACUCCUACGGGAGGCAGCAGUAGGGAAUCUUCCGCAAUGGACGAAAGUCUGACGGAGCAACGCCGCGUGAGUGAUGAAGGCUUUCGGGUCGUAAAACUCUGUUGUUAGGGAAGAACAAGUGCUAGUUGAAUAAGCUGGCACCUUGACGGUACCUAACCAGAAAGCCACGGCUAACUACGUGCCAGCAGCCGCGGUAAUACGUAGGUGGCAAGCGUUAUCCGGAAUUAUUGGGCGUAAAGCGCGCGCAGGUGGUUUCUUAAGUCUGAUGUGAAAGCCCACGGCUCAACCGUGGAGGGUCAUUGGAAACUGGGAGACUUGAGUGCAGAAGAGGAAAGUGGAAUUCCAUGUGUAGCGGUGAAAUGCGUAGAGAUAUGGAGGAACACCAGUGGCGAAGGCGACUUUCUGGUCUGUA
This 696-nucleotide ribosomal RNA is filed under the name uncultured Bacillus sp. RNAcentral describes it as "bacterial SSU rRNA". It matches the Rfam family "Bacterial small subunit ribosomal RNA", at positions 62 to 738 of the family's 1533-position model. The record is from RNAcentral. Lineage: Bacteria; Bacillati; Bacillota; Bacilli; Caryophanales; Bacillaceae.